GCCCUCGUAGCUCAGAGGAUAGAGUACCGCCCUCCGGAGGCGGGAGCGCAGGUUCGAAUCCUGCCGGGGGCGCCA
Molecule: transfer RNA, 75 nt
Filed under: Propionibacteriaceae bacterium
Lineage: Bacteria; Bacillati; Actinomycetota; Actinomycetes; Propionibacteriales; Propionibacteriaceae
Description: tRNA-Arg
Rfam family: tRNA
About the family: Transfer RNA (tRNA) molecules are approximately 80 nucleotides in length. Their secondary structure includes four short double-helical elements and three loops (D, anti-codon, and T loops). Further hydrogen bonds mediate the characteristic L-shaped molecular structure. tRNAs have two regions of fundamental functional importance: the anti-codon, which is responsible for specific mRNA codon recognition, and the 3' end, to which the tRNAs corresponding amino acid is attached (by aminoacyl-tRNA synthetases). tRNAs cope with the degeneracy of the genetic code in two manners: having more than one tRNA (with a specific anti-codon) for a particular amino acid; and 'wobble' base-pairing, i.e. permitting non-standard base-pairing at the 3rd anti-codon position.
Source: RNAcentral